This 460-nucleotide ribosomal RNA is filed under the name uncultured bacterium. RNAcentral describes it as "partial 16S ribosomal RNA". It matches the Rfam family "Bacterial small subunit ribosomal RNA", at positions 338 to 795 of the family's 1533-position model. The record is from RNAcentral.
CCUACGGGGGGCAGCAGUGAGGAAUAUUGGUCAAUGGCCGGAAGGCUGAACCAGCCAUGCCGCGUGAAGGUCAGUGCCCUAUGGGCGUUAAACUUCUUUUGUGCGGGAGCAAUAAUGGUCACGUGUGGCCAGACGAGAGUACCGUACGAAUAAGCAUCGGCUAACUCCGUGCCAGCAGCCGCGGUAAUACGGGGGAUGCAAGCGUUAUCCGGAUUUAUUGGGUUUAAAGGGUGCGUAGGCUGUGAGGUAAGUCAGCGGUGAAAUGCCCCCGCUCAACGGGGUGAAGUGCCAUUGAUACUGCCUGGCUGGAAUGCGGAUGCCGUGGGAGGAAUGUGUGGUGUAGCGGUGAAAUGCUUAGAUAUCACACAGAACACCGAUUGCGAAGGCAUCUCACGAAUCCGCGAUUGACGCUGGUGCACGAAAGCGUGGGUAUCAAACAGGAUUAGAUACCCGGGUAGUC